UGAUGAAGUAGAAUCUAAGAAAAGUGA
RNAcentral lists this non-coding RNA (27 nucleotides) under Rattus norvegicus (Norway rat). Lineage: Eukaryota; Metazoa; Chordata; Mammalia; Rodentia; Muridae. The record is from RNAcentral.